CCUACGGGUGGCUGCAGUGGGGAAUAUUGGACAAUGGGCGAAAGCCUGAUCCAGCCAUGCCGCGUGUGUGAAGAAGGCCUUCGGGUUGUAAAGCACUUUCAGUGGGGAAGAAAGCCUUGGGGCUAAUACCCUCGAGGAAGGACAUCACCCACAGAAGAAGCACCGGCUAACUCCGUGCCAGCAGCCGCGGUAAUACAGAGGGUGCGAGCGUUAAUCGGAAUUACUGGGCGUAAAGCGCGCGUAGGCGGUCUGAUAAGCCGGUUGUGAAAGCCCCGGGCUCAACCUGGGAACGGCAUCCGGAACUGUCAGGCUAGAGUGCAGGAGAGGAAGGUAGAAUUCCCGGUGUAGCGGUGAAAUGCGUAGAGAUCGGGAGGAAUACCAGUGGCGAAGGCGGCCUUCUGGACUGACACUGACGCUGAGGUGCGAAAGCGUGGGUAGCAAACAGGAUUAGAUACCCUGGUAGUC
This 465-nucleotide ribosomal RNA is filed under the name Vreelandella stevensii. Its description in RNAcentral is "partial 16S ribosomal RNA". It matches the Rfam family "Bacterial small subunit ribosomal RNA", at positions 338 to 795 of the family's 1533-position model. The record is from RNAcentral. Lineage: Bacteria; Pseudomonadati; Pseudomonadota; Gammaproteobacteria; Oceanospirillales; Halomonadaceae.